GCUGAAGUGUUGCAGAAAACUGAUGCGUCACCUAGUGCCUUUUAUGAGAGACUGCUUGAGUCAUACAGAUUGUACACUCCUUUCAAUCCUGAAGCCUCUGAAAACUCCCGAAUGAUUAAUUCAGCCUUUGUCAGCCAGGCCCAGAGUGAUAUUAAAUGAAAGUUACAAAAGUUAGAGGGAUUUGCAGGGAUGUCCAUAUCACAGUUAAUGGAGGUUGCAAAUAAGGUGAGGUAGGUAUUAUCCCCCUACCCAGAGAUAAAGCGAUAGGGAAGAUAGAGAUUUUGUGGGUCUGGCUGAUACAGUCAUGGAGGACUAUUGAUACUGACCGGGCUCCAUCCCCGUUGGCCAAGUGGAG
Non-coding RNA from Pelobates cultripes (western spadefoot toad), 355 nucleotides. Lineage: Eukaryota; Metazoa; Chordata; Amphibia; Anura; Pelobatidae. The record is from the annotation of a GenBank genome assembly.